This is a long non-coding RNA of Myiozetetes cayanensis, 214 nucleotides long. RefSeq lists it as uncharacterized. The record is from RefSeq and is a predicted model, not a curated record. NCBI's taxonomy places the organism in Eukaryota, Metazoa, Chordata, Aves, Passeriformes, Tyrannidae. The transcript has 3 exons.
CACCAUUUCACGUAACAGGGGAUUUUAACAAUGAUGUGACAGUUUAAUGCAAGACCAUGGAGACCAACCGCUUUCAGUGCUGUUAUAAGAGAAGCACUAGCCUGAAUGUCCUUUUUUACUGAACAAAGAAGAAAAUGCGUUUUGCGACAUUUUUAUAACAAAGAAGCAAGGAAAUCAAAAAAACACAGUAUCAUGAUAUCAUCACAGACAGUAU